AAAGGGUAGGGAAUAUUACAAAAUUCAAAAGUCUGUCAGAGUGAAAAGGUCCAGAGGGAAAUGUAGGAAAGAAGAUGUCACAUUCACUAGGAUAAGACUAGGACACACAGGACUAAACAGUAAACUGUUUAUCAUGAAAAAGAGAGAAUCAGAUAAAUGUGAAACUUGUGGACUUAGAGAAACUGUUGAACAUGUACUAUUUGGAUGUAGGAAAUUCAUUACAGAAAGGAAAAGGUUGAAGGAUGGUGUGGUCAAAAUGGGUAGGGAAUGGAGCAUCAAAGGGCUCCUAGAGCUAGGAGAGAAACAGGCUCAGGUUCAAAGGGCAGUUCUUAAGUACAUAUAUGAAACAGGAUUAAUGUCCAGAAUAUGAGUAUUUAUUGUCGAUUUUUUUUUUUUUUUUUUUUAAAUCUAUGAAAUGAACCCAGUAUAAAGUCAUGAUGUUACACACUCCGAUACAGUAGGUGGCGGCAUGCACCUUUAACGUUGGUUUGUAGCCCGCCAUUAAAACAGAAGAAGAAGAAGAAGCAGUAGGGGAGAUUUGGAGAGAAAUCUAAGGUUGUAUUUUGAUGGGAAUCUAACCAGUAUUCUUGCACAGAAUUGUGGUGUAGCUGUUUUCCCUUUCGACUCAGUUUGACAAAGGCCCUGUAGGCCCAUGCUGAAGAGGACAUGAGUCAGCCUUCACCUUUCUCCUGAUUGAGUCGCAGUAUAGAGCAAGUCAGCUCAACCGGUGCCUGUCUCUUACAGGGUCAAGGCUGGAGAAGACAGAGGGAGGAUCUGCGGGGAGUACAUGUGGUAUACACACCCUUCCUUGCAUGCAGUGUGGUAGGCCCGAAGUGUGGUGAGGACACAAACUAGUCUGUAGAUUUACCUCAGUUUGCAGUGUGUGUGUUGCAGUGCUUUGCAGUGUUUUGCAGUGAUCACGGUGGGCACGUGGUGAAGUGAUUUUGGGUUUUGCGACAGAAUCUCCCCGUGGUGAGUACCCUGCCUGAUAUUUUUUUCUUCAGCAGGUAGUGUAUUCCACACUCCUGCUUGUUUUCAUCCAUAUUGUAAUCUGUUCAGCUACUUUGUAGUUUUAAAUAUUAAUAGUGUAACAUUAAAAAUCUUUUCUUAAACUGAUUGUCCUUUUUCUUUCUUUUUUUUAGGUCCAUUACUGCUCCUUUAAUCCCCCUUUUUAUAAUAAAUACUGAGUUUUUGACUUGAAUGCAUGUCUCCGGCUCUUCUUGUACCUGUGAAAGAAUUUGUCUGUGGGUUUAAGUAGAGACCCUUAUUGUACACUGGGGUGGGCCACACAAAGACAAAACAGAGGAAACAACAAGCCAUCCAAACAGGUGAUCAUGACACCAAACUAUCUCAAAGGUAAGUGAGUGAGGCAGCAAAGGCGUUGCAAGUGGAAUGGAAUGAUGUAUGUGGACAUGCA
Epinephelus lanceolatus (giant grouper) is the source of this 1417-nucleotide non-coding RNA. NCBI's taxonomy places the organism in Eukaryota, Metazoa, Chordata, Actinopteri, Perciformes, Serranidae. The record is from RefSeq and is a predicted model, not a curated record.